AGAGGAGCCCCAGCCCCGGGACUCCCAGGCCUUCCCACUCGCUGCUCAGGACUGAACACAGAUGACGCACCAUGGAGUCUGGACUGAGUUGGCUUCUCCUUGCUGCUCUGUUACAAGGUGUCCAGUGUGAGGUGAAGCUGGUGGAGUCUGGGGGAGGCUUGGUCCAGCCUGGGGGAUCCCAGAAACUCUCCUGUGAAGCCUCUGGAUUCACCUUCAGUGAUUACUACAUGUCCUGGGUCCGCCAGGCCCCAGGGAAGGGUCUGGAGUGGGUUGGUUUUAUUAGAAACAAAGCUAAUGGUGGAACCGCUGAAUAUGCUGCAUCCGUGAAAGGCAGAUUCACCAUCUCAAGAGAUGAUUCCAAAAGCGUUACCCAUCUGCAAAUGAACAGCCUGAAACCCGAGGACACGGCUGUGUAUUACUGUGCCAGGGACACAGCGAGGGGACUGCAGUGUGAGCCCAGACAAGAACCUCCUGAGGGCACAGGAGGCCAUCAGGGGAUGCCCCGGACCCACAAAGCACAGACUCAGCCCAGGGCAGGACGCCCAAAGUCUUGUCCGAAGCGGAGGUCUGGCCCUGACUGUGGAGGAGUGGUCCUCCUGGAAGCAGCCUUGUGA
Non-coding RNA from Nycticebus coucang (slow loris), 614 nucleotides. The record is from the annotation of a RefSeq genome assembly. NCBI's taxonomy places the organism in Eukaryota, Metazoa, Chordata, Mammalia, Primates, Lorisidae.